UGCUUUUCUGUUCUGUUCUUCUUUUCUCUUCUUUCCUUUCCUUCUCGCUGCACUUCAUGAGGAAGGAAGGAAGUGAAUAGUUUUUCAAUGAAAUGAAAAGAAAAGAAAAGGACUUUCUUGCUUAUCU
RNAcentral lists this non-coding RNA (127 nucleotides) under Aurantiochytrium limacinum. Lineage: Eukaryota; Bigyra; Thraustochytrida; Thraustochytriidae. The record is from RNAcentral.